RNAcentral lists this ribosomal RNA (451 nucleotides) under uncultured soil bacterium. RNAcentral describes it as "bacterial SSU rRNA". It matches the Rfam family "Bacterial small subunit ribosomal RNA", at positions 54 to 515 of the family's 1533-position model. The record is from RNAcentral.
CAUGCAAGUCGUACGGGGAGCAAUCCUCGUGGCGCAAGGGUGAGUAUGCGACGGUAACCAACCCCAGGGCUGGCCAUAGCCGCGGGAAACCGCGGGUAAUAGCCAGCGAUGCAGCCGGCUGGCAUCGGCCGGCUGUCAAAGGUGUGACUCCGCCCUGGGACGGGCCGUCGUGGUAUUAGGUAGUUGGUGAGGUAACGGCUCACCAAGCCUUUGAUGCCUACCGGGCGUGCGAGCGUGGCCCGGCACACUGGGACUGAGACACUGCCCAGACUCCUACGGGAGGCUGCAGUCGAGAAUCUUCGGCAAUGGGCGCAAGCCUGACCGANCGACGCCGCGUGGAGGACGAAGGCCUUCGGGUUGUAAACUCCUGUCGAGGGGAAGGAAGGGGCGGCGCAAGAACCGUCCUUGACCGCUCCCUGGAGGAAGCACGGGCUAAGUUCGUGCCAGCAGC